GACGAACGCUGGCGGCGGGCUUAACACAUGCAAGUCGAACGGAAAGGCCCUGCUUUUGUGGGGUGCUCGAGUGGCGAACGGGUGAGUAACACGUGAGUAACCUGCCCUUGACUUUGGGAUAACUUCAGGAAACUGGGGCUACUACCGGAUAGGAGCUCCUGCUGCAUGGUGGGGGUUGGAAAGUUUCGGCUGUUGUGGAUGGACUGGCGGCUUAUCGGCUUGUUGGUGGGGUAGUGGCUUACCAAGGCUUGGACGGGUAGCCGGCCUGAGAGGGUGACCGGCCACAUUGGGACUGAGAUACGGCCCAGACUCCUACGGGAGGCAGCAGUGGGGAGUAUUGCACAAUGGGCGGAAGCCUGAUGCAGCAACGCCGCGUGCGGGAUGACGGCCUUCGGGUUGUAAACCGCUUUCGCCUGUGACGAAGCGUGAGUGACGGUAAUGGGUAAAGAAGCACCGGCUAACUACGUG
RNAcentral lists this ribosomal RNA (468 nucleotides) under uncultured bacterium. RNAcentral's name for it is "partial 16S ribosomal RNA". It matches the Rfam family "Bacterial small subunit ribosomal RNA", at positions 28 to 507 of the family's 1533-position model. The record is from RNAcentral.